GAUGAAGAACGCAGCGAAAUGCGAUAAGUAAUGUGAAUUGCAGAAUUCAGUGAAUCAUCGAAUCUUUGAACGCACCUUGCGCCCUUUGGCUAUUCCGAAGGGCAUGCCUGUUUGAGUAUCGUGAACACCUCAACUCUCAUGGUUUGCCAUGAUGAGCUUGGACUUUGGGGGUUUUGCUGGCCUUUGGUCGGCUCCUCUCAAACGGAUCAGCUUUCCAGUGUUUGGUGGCGUCACGGGUGUGAUAACUAUCUACGCCCGUGGUUUUCUGCCAGAUAACCUUCAGCGAUGGAGGUUCGCUGGGGCUCAUAAAUGUCUCUCUUCAGUGGAGACAGCUUUUUGGACGUUUGAUCUCAAAUCAGGUAGGACUACCCGCUGAACUUAAGCAUAUCAAUAAGCGGAGGA
This 402-nucleotide unclassified non-coding RNA is filed under the name soil metagenome. RNAcentral describes it as "partial contains 5.8S ribosomal RNA, internal transcribed spacer 2, and large subunit ribosomal RNA". The stretch from base 1 to 121 matches the Rfam family "5.8S ribosomal RNA", at positions 35 to 154 of the family's 154-position model. The record is from RNAcentral.